GACGAACGCUGGCGGCGUGCCUAAUACAUGCAAGUCGAACGCAGUGGGGAUGGGUGAGUAACACGUGGGUAACCUCCCAUCAGAGGGGAUAAAACUUGGACACAGGUUCUAAACCGAUAAUGAUGGAUGGACCCGCGGUGCAUUAGCUAGGUUGUGAGGUAACGGCUCACCAAGGCCACGAUGCAUAGCCGACCUGAGAGGGUGAUCGGCAACACUGGGACUGAGACACGGCCCAGACUCCUACGGGAGGCAGAAGUAGGGAAUCUUCGGCAAUGGACGAAAGUCUGACCGAGCAACGCCGCGUGAGUGAAGAAGGUUUUCGGAUCGUAAAACUCUGUUGUUAGAGAAGCGGUAUCUAACCAGAAAGCCACGGCUAACUACGUGCCAGCCGCCACGGUAAUUC
This 403-nucleotide ribosomal RNA is filed under the name uncultured bacterium. Its description in RNAcentral is "partial 16S ribosomal RNA". It matches the Rfam family "Bacterial small subunit ribosomal RNA", at positions 28 to 526 of the family's 1533-position model. The record is from RNAcentral.